Molecule: ribosomal RNA, 560 nt
Filed under: uncultured bacterium
Lineage: Bacteria
Description: bacterial SSU rRNA
Rfam family: Bacterial small subunit ribosomal RNA
Source: RNAcentral
GCGCAAUGGGGGAAACCCUGACGCAGCAACGCCGCGUGAGUGAUGAAGGCCUUCGGGUCGUAAAGCUCUGUCAGAGGGGAAGAAAUGCAGGGGUGCUAAUAUCAUCUUUGCUUGACGGUACCCUCAAAGGAAGCACCGGCUAACUCCGUGCCAGCAGCCGCGGUAAUACGGAGGGUGCGAGCGUUGUUCGGAAUUAUUGGGCGUAAAGCGCGUGUAGGCGGUUUGGUAAGUCUGAUGUGAAAGCCCCGGGCUCAACCUGGGAAGUGCAUUGGAAACUGUCAGACUUGAAUACGGGAGAGGGUAGUGGAAUUCCUAGUGUAGGAGUGAAAUCCGUAGAUAUUAGGAGGAACACCGGUGGCGAAGGCGGCUACCUGGACCGAUAUUGACGCUGAGACGCGAAAGCGUGGGGAGCAAACAGGAUUAGAUACCCUGGUAGUCCACGCCGUAAACGAUGAGUACUAGGUGUUGCGGGUAUUGACCCCUGCAGUGCCGCAGCUAACGCAUUAAGUACUCCGCCUGGGAAGUACGGUCGCAAGACUAAAACUCAAAGGAAUUGACGG